GUAAUAAAAGCUUAAAUUGUGCAAGCGCUGGUCUUGUAAGUCUCACACACACACACAUGCACACACACACA
This 71-nucleotide transfer RNA is filed under the name Rivularia auriculata. Its description in RNAcentral is "tRNA-Thr". The record is from RNAcentral. Lineage: Eukaryota; Metazoa; Mollusca; Gastropoda; Architaenioglossa; Viviparidae.